Molecule: long non-coding RNA, 854 nt
Filed under: Anser cygnoides (Swan goose)
Lineage: Eukaryota; Metazoa; Chordata; Aves; Anseriformes; Anatidae
Description: lncRNA (ENSACDG00005008752.1)
Source: RNAcentral
GUUUUGGAUUGUAGCUUUAUCCUGAGGAGUUCAUUUGGGUAUUUGAUAAUUAAAUACUGAGGAAGAAGUGAGACUACUAGCACACGAAAAGGAAAUCACGGAAAUGGUGCAUGUGUAGUCUCAUUGAUUUCUGAAGUGCUUUCACUUAGUGGGUGACAUUCCUGACAGUUUGAUUACUUGGAAUUUGAGGUGAAAGUGCCCAGGCAAAGAGAUCAAGUCAAGAUAGAGAAAAAUGAGGAGCACGUUAGAAUAAGAAAAUUGGACUUUUUGUGAAGAACACAAUUGCUUGUUCAUAUGUUGCUGAAAUGCAAAGAGACCUCCAGGAUGCACCAAAGAAAGGGACUAAGUACAGAGCAGGAAGAUAGAUGAAGCUUAAAUUAUCAUCAGCAGCACUGUUUGUCAAGUAGGGUAUGCACGUCUGAGGGAGGCUGCGUGUGGCUGCUGCUGCUGACAGAGCCCAGGCAGCGUGCUCUGUGCGUGCACCCCUUCCGGAGGGACCCUGUGAAAGGGAAGUCCUCAGGCCUGGAGGAGGACAAGACUGAUGCUAGCCUCUUGGCACCGAAGUCCACCAGGACUGAAGCACAUUGACCUGCUGUGGCUGUGCAGAAAAGCUGAACUACUCAGACCCUCACUGCUCCAUGGGGCUGCUUGUGUGGUUCGUUCCAGGGGCUCACAAGAAGCAAAACCUCUCACCAGUCAUGGGAAAGGGACAUCAAUUUUGCAGUGAAUACACUUUCAGGCUUUAUAUCUUUUCACACCAGUGGACAGUCCAACAUGCCUUAAGUGAUUGUUCAGAACACUUUAUAAAACGAAAAAUAAAUCAGGUAAUAUGUCCUAAUCAGGUCUUGUCCUGA